Long non-coding RNA from Homo sapiens (human), 2909 nucleotides. Lineage: Eukaryota; Metazoa; Chordata; Mammalia; Primates; Hominidae. The record is from Ensembl.
GUGCAGCUGUGACCCGUCCCUGUGGACUGAAGAUUUGUAGUUUUUUGACAGGGGAAAGGAGGAGUGUUUCCUUGUUCUGCUUUUCCAGAAUCCUGCCCUUUCCAAAAGGAAGACGGUAUGAUUAAGUUCCAGGAAAGGGUGACAUUCAAGGACAUAGCUGUUAUCUUCACCAAGGAAGAGCUGGCAGUAUUGGAUAAAGCCCAGAUAAACCUGUACCAAGACGUGAUGCUGGAAAACUUCAGGAACUUCAUCUCAGUGGGGUCUUGCUCUGUCACCCAGGUGGCUGGAGUACAGUGGCCUGAUCAUGGCUCGCUGCUGAAGCCUUGAACUGCUGGGCUCAAGUGAUCCUCCUGCCUCAGCCUCCUGAGUAGUUGGGACUACAGGCAUAUACCACCACUUUCAGCUAAUGUUUUCUUUUAAAAAUUUACUUGUAGAGAUGGGGUCUUGCUUUGUUGCCCAGGUUAGUCUUAUUCUGGUUUCAAGCAAUCCUCCUACCUCAGCUUCCCAAAGUGCAGGGAUUACAAGUGUGGGCCACUGCACUCAGCCCACAAUGUCUUUUAUUUUUUCUUCAAAAACAAUGUCCUUUUCUGUUUUAAUUGACUUAUAAGUUUCUUCAUUUGGAUCAUGGUUUAUUCCUAGUUUUUCUUGCAUUAUAUUUUCCUGCCAGUUAUAGUUUGUAAACAGAACAGCCAUUCAAGUGCAAAUAAAACCAUCCCUGAAGUGUCAUUUUCUUACUGAGCAGGUGGAUAAGAGUGAAAUAUUUUAAAAAUUCUGUGUCAGUAGAAAUGAGGAAAUGAGUGUUCUUACAUAAGUUGGUGGGGAAAAAAAACAGGUACAAAGUUGCUGGAGAGGAUCUUGUCUAUAUGUAUCAGAUGUACAAUGUGCAUUGUCUUUGAGCCAAUGAUCCUGCUUCUCAGAAUGUAUUUUUAGGAUGUAAUUACAUGAGUGGAAAAAAAUGGUUUCAGAAAGAAAUAUGUUCUAAGAAUUUUGCAAUGAGAAGAUCGUAAAUGACCUGAAGCUUCAUGUAUAAGAGAUUAAGUAAAUUAGGGCAUCCCAUAUAAUGGAAUAACAUGGCUCCAUCAACAAUGAUCUAGACCUAUAAAAAUGUCCACAUAUUAUUGUCCAUGUCCACCACAUACUCCAGUCCUCCUACUUGCAAACAGUAGGUUAGAGAAAAAAUCUGGGAUACACAUUAUCCCAGGAAGCUUUUGGGGUUUAGAAUGGGUGCAACAUUCCCUCAUGACAGAAUCGGCCCUCAGCCUUAGUGGAGGUGUCCCAGGCAAUCCUCCAGUAUGGCCAGGAGCAGCCCUUGCAUAUCACAUUAAGCUUUUUAAAUAUAUGAUGCUAACAGGAUUGUCUCCCUACUUCAUAAAAUUGUUUGCUUUUCCUCUUGUAACAAAGUAGCAUGGAAAAAGCAGAAAUUAGUCUAGCUCCCAAUCAGUGGGAGCCAACUCAUUUACAAAUAUAGAUGCAGAGAUCCUAAAUAAAUAUGAGCAUGUCAAAUCCAAUGAUUUGAUAAAAGCGUAACAGACUCUGCUCAUAUAUAAUUUAUCCUAAAUAUGCUUAUCAGCUUCUGCCUCAUAACACACACAAGAACUGAGUAGCUCUAAAUACAAAUUUAUUUAGCUCAUGAUGUGUGAGCUGGCAAGUUCAGUUGGGCUUAGCUGGGCAGUUCUGGUGUGGGACAUGCUAGAUUAUCUUAACUGGGCUUUGUACAUGCAUCUGCAUUCAGCUGAUGGCUCAUCUGGGCCUGGCUGUUUUAUGAUGGUCAUAGAUGAGACAACGAAGUUCUCUCUGUCACCAUGGUCUCUCAUCGUCCAGAAGACCAAUCUAGGGUUGGUCCCAUAGUGCCAGGGUUUCAAGAGCAAAAGCUGUGAUCUCUUAAGGCCUUGUCAGAGAACAGGCUCAAUGAUACUUCCACCACAUUCUAAUGAUUAAAGCAAGUCACAACACUGGCCCAGAUUCAUGCGGUGGGAUUAAGACAAGAUAAAAAAUUUUGAGAUGUAAUCAUUGGAAGGAAAAAGAAGGUACUAUUUUUAUGUUAGAGAAUAAUGUUAUUUACUUAUAAAAUUCAAAUCCGCCUGUAAAAUUUGACCAAUUGAAGUCUGUUUUAAAAUUAUCACGUCAAAAAAUUGGUUUCAUACAAAAUUGGCACAUGAAAACUCAUAGCAUUACUAUGUACGAGUCUUUUAUAAAAUGUAGCCAAAGUGUUUCAUUCACAAUAACAAUUGUGUGCAAAGACCAGAAUUGUCCAAAGGUAAUUCUGGGAGUUCCCUUUGGGAUGCCUAGGUGGGGAGCUAUCUGGAGCCUCAGACUCCCACAUUCUUCAGUGGGAAAAGCUUUACAUGAGCUCAACUUCCCAGCGGCUUUCUCUUUCUGAUGGGAGGUGUUAGAACCUGGCUUUCUCAUGCAACUUCUGUGAAGCUCUGACAACUAAAGCCAGAUUGUCUGCUUUAGUCAAUCUGUUAGAUCAAUUAGUCAUUUGAUCUGACAACUAAAGCCAGAUUGUCUGCUUUAGUUAAGUAGUCCAGAUUACCUGCAUAGUCAAUUUGUUCCCUCACCAACAUGGAUGCCUUCACAAUUGCUCUUUAAGAAGGAUAAAAAGAUAGGGGUGAGGUGUGGUCUAUCUCCUGCUUCACCCAGGCCCUGGUGCUUCUUCAAGUAGCGUGAGAAAUUGUGGUCCUGUGCGUUCUCUUCCAGACCCUUAGCUUAUAUGUUUUCCCUAUAAAACUUAGUCCUAAUCCCAGCACUUUGGGAGGCCGAGGAGGGUGAAUCAUGAGAUCAGGAGUUUGAGAACAGCCUGGCCAACAUAGUGAAACUCCGUCUCUACUAAAAAUACAAAAAAUUAGCUGGGCAUAGUGGCAGGCACCUGUAAUCCCAGCUACUCAGGAGGCUGAGGCUUGAGCCCA